AAUUAUAUAGUUUAAACUAAAACUAUAAUCUUGUAAAUUAUAAAUAGAUAAAUAAUCUUAUAAUUA
Molecule: transfer RNA, 66 nt
Filed under: Amegilla calceifera
Lineage: Eukaryota; Metazoa; Arthropoda; Insecta; Hymenoptera; Apidae
Description: tRNA-Thr
Source: RNAcentral